UUGGAGGGCAAGUCUGGUGCCAGCAGCCGCGGUAAUUCCAGCUCCAAUAGCGUAUAUUAAAGUUGCUGCAGUUAAAAAGCUCGUAGUUGAAUUUCGGGAUCAAUUUGUCGGUCGUGCCUCGGUACGUACUGGCAUUAUUGGUUUCUACCUUCUGAAGAACCUUGAUGUCAUUAAUUUGGUGUCUUGGGGAAUCAGGACUGUUACUUUGAAAAAAUUAGAGUGUUUAAAGCAGGCAUACGCUUGAAUACAUUAGCAUGGAAUAAUGAAAUAGGACGUUUGAUUCUAUUUUGUUGGUUUCUAGGAUUGACGUAAUGAUUAAUAGGGAUAGUUGGGGGCAUUAGUAUUCAAUUGUCAGAGGUGAAAUUCUUGGAUUUAUUGAAGACUAACUACUGCGAAAGCAUUUGCCAAGGAUGUUUUCAUUAAUCAAGAACGAAAGUUAGGGGAUCGAAGACGAUCAGAUACCGUCGUAGUCUUAACCAUAAACUAUGCCGACUAGGGAUCGGAUGAUGUUAAUUUUUUAAUGACUCAUUCGGCGCCUUACGGGAAAC
RNAcentral lists this ribosomal RNA (548 nucleotides) under Glomus sp. VeGloA. RNAcentral's name for it is "SSU rRNA". It matches the Rfam family "Eukaryotic small subunit ribosomal RNA", at positions 548 to 1098 of the family's 1831-position model. Lineage: Eukaryota; Fungi; Glomeromycota; Glomeromycetes; Glomerales; Glomeraceae. The record is from RNAcentral.